GGCCUGGGGAUAGGAUGCGGGACAAAGAAAGUGACAAUAAAAAAGACAGAAAAUAAGAGCAGGGGUUUGUUACAGGAACACAGAGAUAGUUACCACUGCAGUGUCACAAUGUUUAAUGAGUCCAGCUGGCAGUAGGAGUGGGAACGGUAGAUUCUCUCUAUUUCUUGCUCAGUCGCUGGCAGAAGGAAAAUACAAGGGAAAAGCACGUGCUCCCAUUUUUGCAGAGUUCUUGUAUAUAUACGCUGUCCUGUUCUUGUUGGGUUACCUGUAGUGAUGGCAUGUCCAACACAGGUGCAACAGUCCGGAUGCAGGCUUAUCAACAUCAGAGAAGCCAGGGCCUCCACAUAAGGGUGAGCCACCACAUCUUGGUAUUAGCCCGGAAAGUGACAGGCAUAGAGACAUCCCCCUUAUCUUCCACGUUCCUGACACCUCCUAUAGGCAGAGAUGCCUCCAGCUGUUCUCACAUUUCAUAGCAGUCAUUGAGGCAAAAGGUGUUUUUUGUACAGCCUCUCACAUUCGGUUUUCACAACACUCAAAUCUCUCAUCUCCUUCAAUAUUGCAAACUUUCCCUUCAUCCCCAAGAGAAGUAUUAAUCACAGCACAACAGCUGACAGUAACAGCUAACACUAGCUAAACCACUCUCAUGUAUUCACUCCCUUAAUCGCUCAGGAGCAGAAGCAGACCUCACACUCCCAAGCCUGCUGGAGGGUUCAAGUGGUUUCAGGUAAAUUGAGUUAGAGAGAAAUAAGGCAUCAGUGACCAAGAACUUGCAACAGUUUAUCCCAGCAGGAACCACUGCUUUUAUUGUCAAUAUUUCUGUAGUAGCAAAAAUAAUAGCAGCCAUAUUAAGCUUUUGGGUAAAAAAAUGGUGCAGCUAUUCCCACUCUUCAAUAAAAGCAGAAAUGACCAGAGUCUGGUCUCUGCCAACAUAUCUUUUUUUUUUUAGACUGUUGUAUUCUCCUUCUCCUCCUCCCAUUGAUUGAACAUAUCGAUAAACAAUAUAAAUAAUAUUUAUACCAGAACUUCUGAAUAUUUACUCUUGCUUCUCUCUAGUCAGUAUGCAAAGAACUGAAUGAAUGCAAAACGUGCUAUUCUAUAUGUAUAUUCAUGUUUCAAGAUACAAAAUAAGCUUUGCUCUUGGAGCAAAACAUAGUGAGUUAACUGGUGACACAGUUCAUGGGAGGAAUUAAUUACCAGGUUAUGGGACCCAGCAAAGCUCUAUCAACAGCAUGGAGAAAAAAGUCAUAG
This 1248-nucleotide long non-coding RNA is filed under the name Gallus gallus (chicken). RNAcentral's name for it is "lncRNA (ENSGALG00010008532.1)". Lineage: Eukaryota; Metazoa; Chordata; Aves; Galliformes; Phasianidae. The record is from RNAcentral.